UACGUAGGGUGCGAGCGUUGUCCGGAAUUAUUGGGCGUAAAGAGCUCGUAGGCGGUGUGUCACGUCGGCCGUGAAAACCUGCAGCUUAACUGUGGGCGUGCGGUCGAUACGGGCAUCACUGGAGUUCGGCAGGGGAGACUGGAAUUCCUGGUGUAGCGGUGAAAUGCGCAGAUAUCAGGAGGAACACCGGUGGCGAAGGCGGGUCUCUGGGCCGAUACUGACGCUGAUGCACGAAAGCUAGGGGAGCAAACAGG
Molecule: ribosomal RNA, 254 nt
Filed under: uncultured bacterium
Lineage: Bacteria
Description: partial 16S ribosomal RNA
Rfam family: Bacterial small subunit ribosomal RNA
Source: RNAcentral